RNAcentral lists this ribosomal RNA (253 nucleotides) under uncultured bacterium. Its description in RNAcentral is "partial 16S ribosomal RNA". It matches the Rfam family "Bacterial small subunit ribosomal RNA", at positions 524 to 776 of the family's 1533-position model. The record is from RNAcentral.
UACGAAGGGGGCUAGCGUUGUUCGGAAUCACUGGGCGUAAAGCGCACGCAGGCGGAUCGAUAAGUCGGGGGUGAAAGCCCCAGGCUCAACCUGGGAAUUGCCUUCGAUACUGUCGGUCUCGAGUGCGGGAGAGGAGAGUGGAAUUCCUAGUGUAGAGGUGAAAUGCGUAGAUAUUAGGAAGAACACCAGUGGCGAAGGCGGCUCUCUGGCCAGGUACUGACGCUCAGGUGCGAAAGCGUGGGGAGCAAACAGG